UACGUAGGGGGCAAGCGUUGUCCGGAAUCAUUGGGCGUAAAGCGCGUGUAGGCGGCUCGGUAAGUCCGCUCUGAAAGUCCAAGGCUCAACCUUGGGAUGCGGGUUGAUACUGCCGGGCUCGAGUCCGGAAGAGGCGAGUGGAAUUCCUGGUGUAGCGGUGAAAUGCGCAGAUAUCAGGAGGAACACCAAUGGCGAAGGCAGCUCGCUGGGACGAGACUGACGCUGAGACGCGAAAGCGUGGGGAGCAAACAGG
RNAcentral lists this ribosomal RNA (253 nucleotides) under uncultured bacterium. RNAcentral describes it as "partial 16S ribosomal RNA". It matches the Rfam family "Bacterial small subunit ribosomal RNA", at positions 524 to 776 of the family's 1533-position model. The record is from RNAcentral.